GNNGAAACUGACGCUGAGGCACGAAAGCGUGGGGAUCGAACAGGAUUAGAUACCCUGGUANNNNNCGCCGUAAACGAUGAUCACUAGCUGUUGGCGAUACAUAGUCAGGGGCAAAGCGAAAGCAUUAAGUGAUCCACCUGGGGAGUACGGUCGCAAGACUGAAACUCAAAGGAAUUGACGGGGGCCCGCACAAGCGGUGGAACAUGUGGUUUAAUUCGAUGAUACGCGAGGAACCUUACCUGGGCUUAAAUGUGAGACGACGUUCCGGGAAAUCGGAAUUCCCUUCGGGGCGUUUUGCAAGGUGCUGCAUGGUUGUCGUCAGCUCGUGCCGUGAGGUGUCGGGUUAAGUCCCAUAACGAGCGCAACCCUUAUCGUUAGUUGCCAGCGGGUAAUGCCGGGGACUCUAGCGAAACUGCCGGUGUAAACCGAGAGGAAGGUGGGGAUGACGUCAAAUCAGCACGGCCCUUAUGUCCAGGGCUACACACGUGUUACAAUGGUCGGUACAGAGGGCAGCUACCUGGUGACAGGAUGCUAAUCUCGAAAGCCGGUCUUAGUUCGGAUCGAAGUCUGCAACUCGACUUCGUGAAGCUGGAAUCGCUAGUAAUCGCGCAUCAGCCACGGCGCGGUGAAUACGUUCCCGGGCCUUGUACACACCGCCCGUCAAGCCAUGGAAGCCGGGGGUACCUGAAGUCUGUNA
Molecule: ribosomal RNA, 697 nt
Filed under: uncultured bacterium
Lineage: Bacteria
Description: bacterial SSU rRNA
Rfam family: Bacterial small subunit ribosomal RNA
Source: RNAcentral